UACGUAGGUGGCGAGCGUUAUCCGGAAUUAUUGGGUGUAAAGAGCGCGCAGGUGGUUGAUUAAGUCUGAUGUGAAAGCCCACGGCUUAACCGUGGAGGGUCAUUGGAAACUGGUCGACUUGAGUGCAGAAGAGGGAAGUGGAAUUCCAUGUGUAGCGGUGAAAUGCGUGGAGAUAUGGAGGAACACCAGUGGCGAAGGCGGCUUCCUGGUCUGUAACUGACACUGAGGCGCGAAAGCGUGGGGAGCAAACAGGAUUAGAUA
This 261-nucleotide ribosomal RNA is filed under the name uncultured prokaryote. RNAcentral's name for it is "partial 16S ribosomal RNA". It matches the Rfam family "Bacterial small subunit ribosomal RNA", at positions 524 to 784 of the family's 1533-position model. The record is from RNAcentral.